GCGCGAAACCUCUACAAUGCACGCAAGUGUGAUAGGGUAACCCCUCGUGCUCACCGUAAGGUGGGCUUUUGUCAAGUUUAGUGAUCUUGACGAAUAAGUGGUGGGCAAGACCGGUGCCAGCAGCCGCGGUAAUACCGGCGCCACAAGUGGAGAUCAUGUUUAUUGGGUCUAAAGUGUUCGUAGCUGGCUUUGUAAGUUUCUUGUGAAAGUUCUGUGGCUUAACCCAGAAAUUGCAAGGAAUACUGCAAAACUUGAGACAGGGAGAGGUAUGAAGUAUUGUUUGGGUAGCGGUAAAAUGUUAUAAUCCUUACAAGACUAACUAAGGCGAAGGCAUCAUACUUGAACUGAUCUGACAGUGAGGAACGAGAGCUGGGGGAGCGAACCGG
RNAcentral lists this ribosomal RNA (386 nucleotides) under uncultured euryarchaeote. RNAcentral describes it as "bacterial SSU rRNA". It matches the Rfam family "Archaeal small subunit ribosomal RNA", at positions 339 to 727 of the family's 1478-position model. The record is from RNAcentral. Lineage: Archaea; Methanobacteriati; Methanobacteriota.